Mytilus trossulus (common blue mussel) is the source of this 557-nucleotide long non-coding RNA. RefSeq lists it as uncharacterized. The transcript is spliced from 2 exons. Lineage: Eukaryota; Metazoa; Mollusca; Bivalvia; Mytilida; Mytilidae. The record is from RefSeq and is a predicted model, not a curated record.
AAUUUUGUCACAUGGCGUGUACACGCUUUUCACCACUUUACACGCAAUUACACGCUUUUUCGUUCUUUUCAUUUUUUGUUCGUUAGUGAUAUCGCUAUUCUCGGGUUUUUUCAUUACACGGAGAUAAAUACCGAAAAAUUCGAAGUAUUUGUUUGGCUGCCAUAUUGUUUAUUUUUCUAUAUGGACAAACUGUAAAAGAUUCAAAUCUAGCCAACAGAUUUCUACAGGCCAUGGGGAUGAAAAUAUCACAGAACUGUUGGAUUAGCUCUCAUAGUACCAGCUAUCAUCUGAUGAACUACCCAGUUUUGACCAGGCAAUGGAAGCAAUGGCAGAGAUAAUAGAUGAUAUAUUUUUUUACAUUGCAAAAUGAACAAAACAUUAUGACAUUCUUUAAAAUCUUGAUGAAGCUUAUUCAGUCAAAUAUCAAUUCCUACUGUGGGAGAGCAUUUUCAAUUAUAAAGAAAUUGACACUGAAUUCUGAUCAGAACUUGACUAUGUUACAGUUAUAUUGAGUGCUGUUAUAUGAAAUUAUCAAAUAAAUGUAGCUAAACUUGAAA